UUUUAUGAAGAGAUGGUAAAGUGAAGUUCAACAUUUGUGAGGAGGAAGAAGAGGAAGGAAUAGAGCAUGAGCUGGUUUGUCAGUUGGAGAAAUCGAGCAUUUCCAAAGCCAGGAGUAGGGCUGUGAAAGAAGAUCAUGUGCAGAGGGGUGAAAGCAUUCAACAUGAUGACAUCUGCACAACUGGAGCUCCAUAAACACUUAGGAGAAGAAAGUGUAUCAAAGCCAAGUAUUUGAAAUGAAACCUGGCUCUUUGAAAAUGAUUUUAUUGCUUGAAUUUAUACGUAAACCUUCAGACGUCAGAACACUUAUCCAGACUGCUGUGGUUUUGAAUGCAUCCUAUGAAAUUCAUAUGUUGGAAUAUUGAUCACCAAUGUGGAAAUGUUGAACGUAGAAUACUUAAGAGGAUUAUUCUUACAAAAUUAAGUUCAAGAGGAAAUGUACAAUAGAUGGAAACAAUGUGAAAAUUCAGAAAGAUGUGAAGACUCCUUCAGAACUUUUGGAAUGAAAUAAUCAAAUAAUAAAUUAACUAUGAGUA
Long non-coding RNA from Chinchilla lanigera (long-tailed chinchilla), 535 nucleotides. RefSeq lists it as uncharacterized. The record is from RefSeq and is a predicted model, not a curated record. NCBI's taxonomy places the organism in Eukaryota, Metazoa, Chordata, Mammalia, Rodentia, Chinchillidae. The transcript is spliced from 4 exons.